RNAcentral lists this ribosomal RNA (607 nucleotides) under Desmoscolecidae sp. 41_8-1000_L. RNAcentral describes it as "eukaryotic LSU rRNA". It matches the Rfam family "Eukaryotic large subunit ribosomal RNA", at positions 392 to 901 of the family's 3401-position model. Lineage: Eukaryota; Metazoa; Nematoda; Chromadorea; Desmoscolecida; Desmoscolecidae. The record is from RNAcentral.
AGAGGGCGUGAAACCGUUCAGAGGGAAACGUGAGGCGCUGGCAAAGACUCGAGGGAUUCAACUAACCGAUAUAUCGGUUGGUGCUUUUUCCUUGUGUAUGCGCUGGGAAGCGUGUGGAUUCUGCUGUCGUUCGACAUUAGAGAGCUGAAUUUCAGUAUUCUGGGGUGUAAUGGUGGUUGAUUCUGUACGUUAUCGUCCACUGCUAUGCGCAUUGUUUUGAGGUUUAGGGCGUUUGACUGCAUUUGAUCAAUAUUGAUGCGGUCUGUGUUUUGAGCCUUUUGCAUAAUUGCAGUACGGCGUUCCCGGUGAAAAUGACAGCUAACCUCUCGACCCGUCUUGAAACACGGACCAAGGAGUCUAACAUGUGCGCGAGUUAUUGGGUGUUAAACCCAUAGGCGCAAUGAAAGUAAAGGCUGAUUUUAUCGGCUGAUAUGUGAUCUCCUGACGUUUGUCUGGAGGGCAGCGUAGUCCCAUCCCGAUUGAUUUUCAAUGGGGUGGAGAUGGAGCGUAUUUGUUGGGACCCGAAAGAUGGUGAACUAUGCCUGAACAGGAUGAAGCCAGAGGAAACUCUGGUGAAAGUCCGAAGCGGUUCUGACGUGCAAAUCGA